Long non-coding RNA from Dioscorea cayenensis subsp. rotundata (Guinea yam), 1079 nucleotides. RefSeq lists it as uncharacterized. The record is from RefSeq and is a predicted model, not a curated record. Lineage: Eukaryota; Viridiplantae; Streptophyta; Magnoliopsida; Dioscoreales; Dioscoreaceae. The transcript is spliced from 3 exons.
UCAUCGUCACAGCCAUCAAACACAAGCUCACUACCGCACUACCAUCAUCCUAUUUCCGCCGUCAAACACAAGCUCUCACCACCUCUGUUGUCAUCACUAUCUCACGAUCUCCGCCGGCAUCGUCACCGUCGGCAUCCUCAUCCUAUUUCCAUAGUCCCCUCACCCAAUCCCAGCUAUUCCGGCAAUUGCCGCCACCGUUGUCAGUCUUAAAUUUGUGUAAAAUCUCUACAAGCUCUCACCAUCUCCGUUGUCAUCACCCUCUCACGAUCUCCGCCGGUGUCGUUCAGCCAAUCCUAGCUAUUCCGGCAAUCGCCAUCACCGUUGUCAGUCUUAAAUUUGUGGAAAAUCUCCAUUCACAGAGAAGCACACAAAGAUCUGAAAAAGAGAAGGAGUUGUCUCAAUUGUUUUUCUUGUGCCACUAGUUUUUCAUCUCUAGCCCAUCAUCCAAAUCAAGAAUACUAUGGCAGAGCAAAAAAUUGUCUCCUCUGAACUAUGCAAGAAGGGGAUAGAAGCUGGGUCUUCAAGUUUAGAAAUUUUGAAUGAAGAAAAUGAAGCCAUGGUAAAUAUGGAAGUACCAACAUGUGGAAAAGUUGUUCCAAAAGCAGGCAUGAAGCUCAAUUCUCAAGAAGAAGUAUACAAUCUGUACAUUGAAUAUGCUCGACAAGAAGGUUUUGGUAUUACCAAACGAAGUACAAGAUUAGGAGAAGAUGGAAAAUUGAAAUAUUACACACUUGCAUGUGUAAGAGGUGGCAAAAGAAUAUCAACCGCCAAAAAUGCUUUCAACCCAAGACUAUCUACUAAGAUGAAUUGUCAAGCCAAGAUGAAUGUUAUAAUCAGUGAUAAUGGACAGUGUACUAUAUCGCGUGUUAAUUUGGAACACAAUCAUGCACUUAGUCCACAGAAAUCUCGUUUUCAGAGAUGCAAUAAAAAAAAUGGAUGGAUAUGUGAAAAGAAGACUUGAGUUAAAUGAUCAAGCAUGCAUAGGCUUGAGUAAGAAUUUUCAUUCUUUAGCGGUUGAAAGUGGUGGUUAUGAGAAUUUAACAUAUACUGAAAAAGAUUGCAGAAAUUACAUUGCAAAA